UAAGAGCUGUACCCAGGAAGUCUAA
This 25-nucleotide non-coding RNA is filed under the name Drosophila melanogaster (fruit fly). Lineage: Eukaryota; Metazoa; Arthropoda; Insecta; Diptera; Drosophilidae. The record is from RNAcentral.